AUCAUUAACAAACAUUUAAAAAGGUUUAUUACAAUACUAAUUGAUAAUAUUAAUGUACUAAUCUUGUUUUGUUACACCCUAAAUCAUUAGCUACCCCAGUUACAAGCAUGAGUUUUUGACUUCAUGCAGACAUCCGCAGACAUCGAAGUACCGCGAGAGUGGUUCAAAAGCCCAGGAAACAGUGUAAUCACGCGGUACUGUGAUGUCAUACUGGUUAACGCUUAGCCACGUGAAGCCGGACACAAGGGCUGCACUAAUCUUUGGGCUAGAGUAGCCUGUGGUUUUUGAGGCUUCCGUGUGUCGUCGCGUUAAACGAUCGCAGAACGAUUUAUUUCUCUUUUUCACCUCGAUUUUGGCCUCUUGUGAUUUACCAAAACCAACAUGUGGAGUAACAACGCUGACGAAGGAGUUUCAUCAGUAGAGUGUGUCCUGGUAAACGUGUGCUCGGAAACAUGCAGAUUACAGUAUCUACAGAGCCGACCAUGAGGCUAGUUUUUGCAUGACAUCCACUGAUGGAUAAUCUGUUUACCUAAAAACAGAUGUGCGCAUGUCUCAACCUGUGAUAGAUAAACUUCACAAAUGAAAGUAAAUUAAAACACUUGAAACAUGUUAAUGUAAUAAGCUGAUUUUUAUAAUAUCAUAAUAAGAUAAUUGUCCUCUUAUUAUGUGCAUGUAAACAUACUUCAUGUCUUUGUUUAUCCUUUGUCUCAAGUCACACUGAGUGUGAGAAGUCAUUUGUCCAGUGCUGUCGUGAAAUCUAAUGAUAACUGCAACUCAUUCAGUCUAACAUGAUGGUUGAAUUACACACAGAUAAACACCCACUUUAUAGACCACAAGAUUUGAGUUCAGUCAGAUUAAGAUAGUUGAUUGAGCGUAGUAGGCAUGGGCCGGUAUAAGAUUCUGGCGGUAUGAUUACCUUUAGCAAAAAUACCAUGGUUUUACAGUUUUGCGGUAUUGCCAUUGCUACACUAAAAUUUGUUAUUUUUAAAUGCCAGGUAAAAAUAAAGCCUUUAAAUUAUAUUGUAUAUAAUAUUUUCAUAAUGUAUGUUACAUGUAAACAUCAAAUCAAUCACAUGACUUAAUGAUUUAAUGAAUUUUGUAUAAAUACAGUUCAUACCUUGGAGAUGGUAUCACAGACCAUUUUAGUAGUUUUGUAACCUUGACUGUUCAAACCUCGGUAUACCUUAAACCGGUAACUAGUCCAUGCCUACCGUGUAGUAUCUAUUAUUUAGGUGGUUGACAGGUCUGUUUGCAUGUUAUUGCAUUGGUAAUAAUUUAUUGUUUAUAGUCCAAUAUUGAUUGUGAGAAUUAUUUCAAUUUCCUUAAAAAUGUUCUAACAUCUUUUUCCUUUCUUUUCUUAAUGCAGCACUUCAGGAGAAACCUGCCUGUGAUCUGCUAAGAUGCACAGAUCCAACUCUGGCCCAUUGCCAUCCCAACACCUCAUUUGCCAUCAGUUUC
Non-coding RNA from Paramisgurnus dabryanus, 1458 nucleotides. NCBI's taxonomy places the organism in Eukaryota, Metazoa, Chordata, Actinopteri, Cypriniformes, Cobitidae. The record is from RefSeq and is a predicted model, not a curated record.